AAUGAACGAAGCAUUAUGUGAUCACAAUGAAGUGGAUCGGCUAAAUCAAGUGGUAUGGAAAUGAAAACGAUGAAAGGCUGAUUGAAUUAGUCAUCUACUCUUGAAAAGAAAAAAAAGAAAGAAAAAAAGAGAAAUAAGAGAAUUGAUGACUUCCGAAUGAUUUUACUAGCCUAAGAGAACUAGCUCCACCAUCCAAAUAAAUUCCUCCCGUCCACCGCACAUUACCUCGGCCCCGUUACAACCUUUAUUUAGCCUCGAUUAUAUUUAUGGAAUUUUAUGUGUU
RNAcentral lists this long non-coding RNA (283 nucleotides) under Gossypium raimondii (Peruvian cotton). RNAcentral describes it as "long non-coding RNA (GRAI_LNC004619)". The record is from RNAcentral. Lineage: Eukaryota; Viridiplantae; Streptophyta; Magnoliopsida; Malvales; Malvaceae.